RNAcentral lists this ribosomal RNA (669 nucleotides) under Staphylococcus aureus. RNAcentral's name for it is "partial 23S ribosomal RNA". It matches the Rfam family "Bacterial large subunit ribosomal RNA", at positions 1573 to 2242 of the family's 2925-position model. Lineage: Bacteria; Bacillati; Bacillota; Bacilli; Caryophanales; Staphylococcaceae. The record is from RNAcentral.
AAGACAUUGUGUCUUCGAGUCGUUGAUUUCACACUGCCGAGAAAAGCCUCUAGAUAGAAAAUAGGUGCCCGUACCGCAAACCGACACAGGUAGUCAAGAUGAGAAUUCUAAGGUGAGCGAGCGAACUCUCGUUAAGGAACUCGGCAAAAUGACCCCGUAACUUCGGGAGAAGGGGUGCUCUUUAGGGUUAACGCCCAGAAGAGCCGCAGUGAAUAGGCCCAAGCGACUGUUUAUCAAAAACACAGGUCUCUGCUAAACCGUAAGGUGAUGUAUAGGGGCUGACGCCUGCCCGGUGCUGGAAGGUUAAGAGGAGUGGUUAGCUUCUGCGAAGCUACGAAUCGAAGCCCCAGUAAACGGCGGCCGUAACUAUAACGGUCCUAAGGUAGCGAAAUUCCUUGUCGGGUAAGUUCCGACCCGCACGAAAGGCGUAACGAUUUGGGCACUGUCUCAACGAGAGACUCGGUGAAAUCAUAGUACCUGUGAAGAUGCAGGUUACCCGCGACAGGACGGAAAGACCCCGUGGAGCUUUACUGUAGCCUGAUAUUGAAAUUCGGCACAGCUUGUACAGGAUAGGUAGGAGCCUUUGAAACGUGAGCGCUAGCUUACGUGGAGGCGCUGGUGGGAUACUACCCUAGCUGUGUUGGCUUUCUAACCCGCACCACUUAUCGU